CGUGAGGAACCUGCCUUUCAGAGGGGGACAACAGUUGGAAACGACUGCUAAUACCGCAUGACGCAUUCGGAUGGCAUCAUCUGAAUGCCAAAGAUUUAUCGCUGAAAGAUGGCCUCGCGUCUGAUUAGAUAGUUGGCGGGGUAACGGCCCACCAAGUCGACGAUCAGUAGCCGGACUGAGAGGUUGACCGGCCACAUUGGGACUGAGAUACGGCCCAG
This 218-nucleotide ribosomal RNA is filed under the name uncultured bacterium. RNAcentral describes it as "partial 16S ribosomal RNA". It matches the Rfam family "Bacterial small subunit ribosomal RNA", at positions 116 to 334 of the family's 1533-position model. The record is from RNAcentral.